This 1710-nucleotide ribosomal RNA is filed under the name Triticum aestivum (bread wheat). Its description in RNAcentral is "partial small subunit ribosomal RNA". The record is from RNAcentral. Lineage: Eukaryota; Viridiplantae; Streptophyta; Magnoliopsida; Poales; Poaceae.
AUGCGGCCUGGAAGCACCCGGGUCCCUCGCGCAAGACGCUCUGGCACCGGAGGAAGGCGGCACAGAAGCAGCGGCAAUCUGAGGGGGGGCAGGAAGCGGCCCCGCUCGCCGCAGAUCCAGAUGGAGCGCCGGGAGGUUCCGCCUGACCUCUUCGGGUUGUGCUUCAAGUGCUUCAGGGAUGGGCACCGCAGGGAUGACUGCACCUUCCCGCCGAGAUGCAUCCGCUGCGGGCUGGAGGGUCAUGAGUCUGUUGACUGCAGGCAACCGCGGAGCCCGAGGUCGGAGGAGGACCUGCGAAGGGACGCCAUGGCUAAGGUUGCGCGCACGACCCAGCUGCUGCCGCCUGCCAGACUCGCGGGGAGACUGUCGCCGGCGACUCGGCAGGAUCCACCUGUGGGGGGAUUCAUGCCAGUCGCGGCCGUUACAGUACCCGCGGAGCCCUGGCAAGCGCCGUCAGCUGCUGGCGAGAUCUGCGUGCUCCGCCGUUCCCACGAGGUCGACGACAUGGAGAGGCGACUUCAGUCUGCGGUGGUUGCAUACAUUGGUGGCCCUCGGCCGGCGGUCUCCUGUGUGCAGGCUGCCGAAGCCAUUUCGGAGAAGUUGCGGAUCCCAAGGCACCGCUUUUCUGUCCACAAAUUCCAUCCCGAGGACUUCUUGGUGGUGUUUGCAACACCGGAGCUCAGGAACACGGUGCUGGCGCAGGACUCGGUUGAGCAUGAGUUUUUCAAGCUGUUCUUCAGACCAUGGCUAAUGCAGGCACAAGCAACAUCCAGGCUGAUGCGCACACAAGUGGAUGUGAUGAUCGAGGGCAUCCCAGCCCAUGCCUGGACCAGAGACACGGCAGCUGAGCUCCUUGGUUCGUCGUGUUUGGUGGAGAGCCUCGCACCGGAGACGGCCAGCAGGGAAGAUUUAUCGCUGUUCAAGCUGCGGGCGUGGUGCGUCGAUCCUGAUGAGGUGCCUGUCUGUAAGCGACUUUGGAUGCCAGAACCAUCUGAUCUGGGCAACCCGGCGGAUCGGCGGCCUAUUUACCGUCAGUUACUGGAGUACAAGAUCCUAAUUCACAUUGGUAGGAUGCGGGAUAAUGCAGACCCGCCGGAUUGGUUUCGGCCAUCUAGCUCAGACAGCAGCGGCCAAAGUGGUUUGCCGGACAAUUCAGGCGACUUCUCCGGCGGAGGAUGCUGGCAGGUUCUGCCUUGGACCAGGGGUGUUCGGGACUCGCGCGGCGGCGGACCGUCUCAGUCAGGGGCUUACAAUGGAGGUCGUUCCUACAGGCAGGCCCUGGUGGGUAGAAUCGGACCAUCAGACUGGCGUAUUCCGGCGAUGAGCUUUGGGAGGGAGACGCCAGCCCCAGCGCCACAGUUGGCGCCGCCGCCUCCCCGCGCCGCGCCGUCGAUGCCACGGCCAGACACACGGGCGCCUACUAAAAACACUGGAGCAGGAGAUCGCGCCACUGGAUGGCUGGCGGCCACACCACCCACACAGGAUCUGGCGAUCGCCGCACAUCCAGUUGGGCCAGUCAACAACCAGGUGCAGGUGACUCAUUUGGACCCACCGGAGCGACAGGCUUUGGCCCCUCAGGCUGAUGCGGUGGUGGCUCCACCUAUCACCACUAUCCUGGAAGCAUCCCCACAGUUGGAACGGAUAUCUGGUGGCAGCUCCUGCUGCUGCCCCCGAGGAGAUCAGGACUCUGACAGAGACCGAUGUGACUGA